CAUACUAGCUCAUUGGUAGAGCGAUCGACUCAUAAGCGAUUGGUAGUAGGUACCGCUUCGCGGAAGCAAGCUACAACCCCUACGUAUG
This 88-nucleotide transfer RNA is filed under the name [Phormidium ambiguum] IAM M-71. RNAcentral's name for it is "Phormidium ambiguum IAM M-71 tRNA". The record is from Rfam by way of RNAcentral. Lineage: Bacteria; Bacillati; Cyanobacteriota; Cyanophyceae; Aerosakkonematales; Aerosakkonemataceae.